GGGCGCUUAGCUCAGUCUGGAUAGAGUGCGUGGCUUCGGACCACGUUGUCGCGGGUUCAAAUCCUGCAGCGCCCA
RNAcentral lists this transfer RNA (75 nucleotides) under Halobacteriales archaeon QH_10_67_22. Its description in RNAcentral is "tRNA-Arg". It matches the Rfam family "tRNA". Rfam says of the family: Transfer RNA (tRNA) molecules are approximately 80 nucleotides in length. Their secondary structure includes four short double-helical elements and three loops (D, anti-codon, and T loops). Further hydrogen bonds mediate the characteristic L-shaped molecular structure. tRNAs have two regions of fundamental functional importance: the anti-codon, which is responsible for specific mRNA codon recognition, and the 3' end, to which the tRNAs corresponding amino acid is attached (by aminoacyl-tRNA synthetases). tRNAs cope with the degeneracy of the genetic code in two manners: having more than one tRNA (with a specific anti-codon) for a particular amino acid; and 'wobble' base-pairing, i.e. permitting non-standard base-pairing at the 3rd anti-codon position. Lineage: Archaea; Methanobacteriati; Methanobacteriota; Halobacteria; Halobacteriales. The record is from RNAcentral.